This 341-nucleotide unclassified non-coding RNA is filed under the name rhizosphere metagenome. RNAcentral's name for it is "partial ribosomal RNA internal transcribed spacer region". The record is from RNAcentral.
GUAGGUGAACCUGCGGAAGGAUCAUUAUUGAAUAUUCUUGAUGGGUUGUAGCUGGCUCUUCGGGGCAUGUGCACGCCUGUCUUGACUUUAUUCAUCCACCUGUGCACCUUUUGUAGUCUUGGGGGUUGAGAGCAGUCAAUUAUCGGAUGGCUACUGGCCUUUCCGGAUAUGAGGAAUGCCGAGUGCUUAAAGCAUACGGCUCUUCUCAAAGUGACUUGUAAACCUCUCCUUCAAGUACUAUGUAUUCAUAUACCACAUAGCAUGUUGCAGAAUGUUAUCAAUGGGCCUAUGUGCCUAUAACAAUCAUAAUACAACUUUCAGCAACGGAUCUCUUGGCUCUC